RNAcentral lists this ribosomal RNA (273 nucleotides) under Triticum aestivum (bread wheat). RNAcentral's name for it is "partial small subunit ribosomal RNA". The record is from RNAcentral. Lineage: Eukaryota; Viridiplantae; Streptophyta; Magnoliopsida; Poales; Poaceae.
AUGGCAACACAUCAUGUCCAGAACAGCUUUGAUUUACUGUAUUAUUUUCGUGCUAUGGAUGCAGGGUUCGACAAGGAAACGGUGCUGGAGGCAUUCUACCCCGUCUUCAUUUCUGGGUCGGCGGCGGUUCCGUGCGUGGACCCGUCCAAGCACAUGAAUUUCGAUGGCCUGCACAUGACGGAGGCGGCGUACAAGCUCAUGGCCCGCGGGAUGCUCGACGGCCCGUUCGCCGCGCCGUCCAUCAUGUCCACCACAUGCAACCACAGCUGCUAG